RNAcentral lists this transfer RNA (62 nucleotides) under Ptilonyssus chloris. RNAcentral describes it as "tRNA-Val". The record is from RNAcentral. Lineage: Eukaryota; Metazoa; Arthropoda; Arachnida; Mesostigmata; Rhinonyssidae.
UAGAAUAUAGACUAUUUAGGUUAUUUUAUUUACAAUAAAAAGGUGUUUAAUUACUUUUCUUA